Molecule: long non-coding RNA, 1161 nt
Filed under: Capsicum annuum
Lineage: Eukaryota; Viridiplantae; Streptophyta; Magnoliopsida; Solanales; Solanaceae
Description: long non-coding RNA (CANN_LNC010298)
Source: RNAcentral
AAAAAGCUCAAAAUCAAAUUCGUAUAUAUACAUAAGGUUUUAUGGGUAUAAUCACUUUUCUCAACAAGAAAGGUCGGUUCCAAGGCUCCUAAGUUCAUAAAUAUUGUGUUUUUCCCUCUUUAGUAGUCAGUAUAAAUACAACAACUCCUCAAAUAAAGUGUAGUCAGUAUCUAUGACUUAAAAUAUUUAAUAAUAGUAUAAAGAUGUAUAGCUUCAACAAUUGUUUAUAUAGGUUCUUGCUAAAUUUAUUUGAGUUUAACUAAUUGUUUAUAUUGUUUUUACUAAAUAUAUUUGAAUUCGGCUAUUAAUGUCCUUCGCAAAUCAUCCAGUGUUUGAUUUUUUGUUUCAUUGAUGUUUGAGAUUUUUUAUGUCAAUUGAUUUACUUGUGAAAAAAUUAAAUUAUUUGUAUUAUCAUGUGAUUCUAAUGAAGAAUUUGUUGUGUGCAUACAAUUUGAUUUCAGAUCUUUUAAUUCUUGAUGGAUGAACGAAGAGAUACAUGUUGCUAUUGGCGCCCCUAAAUCCCUAGAACUAUGCACCCUUUGAGCUAAAUAGUUCUUACGUGAAAGUGAAGGUAAGGCUUGUCCUCCUAUGAAAUCCACUGUUCAUGGUUAUUUCCUUUUAUAUGUAUAUUCCUCUUAGGCAAACACAAUCUCUUCCUUCUUAGAGAUACUAACGGUGGUGAAUCUUUUAUUUUUAUCCAUACCAUACCACUUAAGUUUCUAAGAUUUAUUGAUAACAACAAGCAGCGAGAAGGUCAACAAGGGAGAAAAGAUUAUGAUGUCAAAUUUAAAAGUUAUUCUGUGACCUUGUGUUUCUUUACAGUAGCAUUAACUACAGAAGAAUGGUUAAAUUAUGAAAAAGCAAAGGGUUGUCCACAUUGGGAAAGAGACGCAAGAAGAGACUAACGUUUUAGACAAGAAUUAAACUUGGGAAUUGGUACCCAAACUAGAAAAAUGUAAUUCAGUCACUUGAAGAAAAAAUUCUGAUGAUAUCAUUGAUAGGAUUAGAUGCAGACUUGGAAAAAGGACCUAUUGCAGAACUAACAAGAGAGUGCAUUCGACCACAUGACUCUUGACUAAUCAAAUUGGGGGCAAAAGUCUGGGACUAAAAUCUAUCACAUGCUCAAGCUCUCGCUAUAUGCAUGGUUCGGUAAAGUUCGAG